Molecule: long non-coding RNA, 254 nt
Filed under: Salvia miltiorrhiza (redroot sage)
Lineage: Eukaryota; Viridiplantae; Streptophyta; Magnoliopsida; Lamiales; Lamiaceae
Description: long non-coding RNA (SMIL_LNC014412)
Source: RNAcentral
AGAGAGAGAGUGAGAAAGAAGAGAGGGAGGCGCAGCUUUGUGUGUGUGUUGGGAGGUGUUUUAAUGUGUGUUUAUUUAGGUUAAGAAUUGGGCCGGGUUGGGCCGAUUUUUUUUAUGUUGGGCUUCCUUUUAAUUUAAUUGACUGUUGGGCAUUUCCUUAUGUUUUGGGCUCGGCCCUUUACAAAUAAAAAUCUGAUGGGCUUCUUUUAUUUAAAGAACUUGGGCCUGUUUUUAAUUUAAAUAUUUGGGCUUCU